GAAAAGCUCUAGCAUGCUGCAGACUAACAUGUUUGAAGACUUCUCGAGGAGAUCUUCAAAAAUGAUAGCCCGGAGCCUAAUUGUGUUUUUUUAAUUAUGUUGAGACAGUUUGAAUAAGCCAGUGUGAUAGAUUACAACCACACCUUUGGCAUGCCAACACAUACUUCUGAGGGAGCACUCUGAAUUUGCAAAGCACAGCAUGGGAAUGCUUUGCAUAUGAACAUUUUCAUGUGAUGAAUUCAGGAAAGGAGCAGUCCCUCAUCCCCAGAAGAAUGCCCCUCAUUCCUGUAAUGCAGGAGGGGUAUUAUUGGCCAGUUUCUAGACAGCUAUUACCAUUUAGCUCUGCUUUUCAAAUGAAAGGUAUUUGAAAUAUAAGGAUAGAGGACAAAAGUAACACCUACUAGACUAUACUUCUAACUUCAAAACUUUGUCAGUGAUCAAAGGGAAGGAAGUGAUUCAUACCUUCAUAGCAUUAUGAUCAUGGCAAUCUGUUCCUCCUCAUUCUGUUUCCAGACUUCAUUCAGGGAUGUGACACCUUCUGCUCCUCUAUCCAUGAUCUCCCACAAGCUUGGGUUCCCACACAACAGGAAGUGGCUGGGAAUUUGUUUACUGAUACCGACAUGUGAAGUCAGGUCUCUGAGAGCUGAGGUAUGUUAUUGAAUUAAUCCCUUCUAACACUUUGUGCUUUGUUCUGAUGUGUUUUCAGAUAAGAGUUACCAUUAUGACAAAAGAAUUUGUCAUCGGUUCUUUGCCAUAACACCAUCUGCAGAGAACGCGUCACUUCAGAAACCUC
RNAcentral lists this long non-coding RNA (793 nucleotides) under Anas platyrhynchos platyrhynchos (common mallard). Its description in RNAcentral is "lncRNA (ENSAPLG00000030210.1)". Lineage: Eukaryota; Metazoa; Chordata; Aves; Anseriformes; Anatidae. The record is from RNAcentral.